AAGAAACUACACCACAUCCAGGCAGGAUUUAGAGAUUGGUAUACUGGCUGAAGUCCCCAUUUCCCUACUGGCUUUCACCAUGGCAUUGGAGGCUCCUGUUCUCACACCACUGAGACAAGAUGGCUACCUGCCCUCUAUCCCCACCGGUAACCAGCGGCUUCUUCUAGGAACAGGAGAACCGCUUCUGAUCUCUCAGUCUUUCUGAAUGUGUGUAUCUUCGCCAACCUGCGUUCAUCUUUUAAGAAAAAUACCUCUGGACUGUUCGAUUCCUCUCUUUGUGACCUGUUGUUCUUUGACUGUCUGCUACCCAUAACAUGCUAUCAGACGUGUAGCCAAUUAACGUUUUUAAUUUCACCCCUGAAAUGUUUGUUUUCAAGCUUCAUUUCAUUGAACAGGAAACGUGUGCCAUCACAUCACUGUGCAAAUGUGGACUCUAGUUAAGGGGAUCUCACUUUCUCUGAUCUCAACUCACACAUGCUGACUGACUCGGCCGAGUGCUGAAGUAGCCAUUGUUUCUGUGUCCUCCUUAACCCCAUUCAAGGUCAGGAAAAAAUUUAAGUCUGCUAACGUAGAUAGCAGAGACCGCCUCAUAUGUUUCAACCAAAAUCUAUUUCUGUUCAAGAAGACAAGCAACUCCAAGCUGAAAUUCUCUCCUACUUUAUUGUAAUUCAAGUGUGUGCAGUGUGACAUGAUCAUAACUUUAGCCACUGACAGUCUCUGGCAGCCUCACCAGCUCAGUGGAUAUACCCCUUUGUCUCAGAAGCACAGUGGAGAUACCCCUUUGUCUCAGAGACGCAGUGGAGAUGCCCCUUUGUCUCACAGACGCAGUGGAGAUACCCCUUUGUUGCCCCUCUGUCACUGUUGCUCGUUAGUCAUCCAGUAGAUCAUUGGGCAUCGCUCUCUGCCACCAAGCUAAAGUCAAUUAUAAUGUGCUCUGGCCACGUGUGAUAGGACCAUAUUGGGGUUGACUUAGGGGUCAAUCUGCUGCAUACGUACUAUUUAUCAAGAUGUAAAAAUAUGCAUAUGUCAAUGCUGUUUAUUUAUUUAUUGUUUGUUUGUAAAUAUGUUUUCAUUUUAACUGGUUAUCGCCGACAUAUUUAUUGACAUUGUGCUCUGCUACCAAAACAAAUAGUUGUACAUGAAAUCCUUUUCCUUUGCAUAAUUUUAAAAGUGAUCUGAUGUUUUGUGUUUUUGUCAUUUGCUAACUGCUUUAUUUCUCGUGUUGUAAGAUUGUGAAUCAGACCUAUCAGCGGACGUCCAAGCCACUAGUAGCACAACAAGAGCUAACUUCUUUCUUUUGGUUUCACCUGUACUGCUGUUCAUGAAUAUGUCUUUAAACAUUCAAACGGUUUGGUUUACCAUGAUGUGAGCAGUUAUUUAUGUUUAAGUAAAGAACAUAUAGUUCCUGCAACAAACCUCUCAGUACAUUUUCACUUGCUUUUCCCUCCUGGCAAUCGCGCACAGAUAUACACACUGACCUGCACACACACACACCCACACACACACUGACAUGCACACACACACAGACAGCCAUCUGGGCUCUUACAGACAGAAAUG
This is a long non-coding RNA of Clupea harengus (Atlantic herring), 1557 nucleotides long. NCBI's taxonomy places the organism in Eukaryota, Metazoa, Chordata, Actinopteri, Clupeiformes, Clupeidae. The record is from Ensembl.